CACAUCACACAUUCAUAUCGCAUAAUAAUGGCUUGUAAUCAGUAGCAUAUUUGAGCAUAGCGGCUAUGUAAACUUGAUUUUAAUAAAUCAAAAUAUAAAAGCAGCCUGGCUUCAUUGGCCUUAAGUGCCUUUUUAUACAAACACCACAAAAUGCAUUCGCUGGGUAUGUAAUAAUUGAAGAAUUUUUUAGUUGUUUACAAAAUAUUCCACAUAUAGGCACGAGUCUCGUGAAUAGGGAACGGGCGAUUCUAUUGGACAGUUGCUCUCACGGAUUAACGGAGCGAAUCAUUAGGGAAUGGAGUCGUGAGUGUUGAGUGUUUUUUCGAGUUGGAUAGUGGGAAAGCGAAAAGUUAAUGAAAACCUGCAGAAUUACACCACGAUGUCUCAGGCUAAGGAUCUUGGUCUUGGCCAUGCUGGUGUUUGAAGGUGCUGGCAUACGAUGCUAUGUUUGCAGUGGUACAAAGGCGUACUGUGAUGCUAAAAGCUUCUACACUGAAUGCUCAAUAAAAUACUUCCAUGACACGUGCUACAAGGAGGUCCCCUACAAUAGUACAGACGACCGUGUCACCAAGCUAUGUCAUACUAGAGGCGAUUGUUCGCGGGCCAGGCAGAGAUGUUUAGAGUCCAGGAAAUGCGAGGUGUUUUGUUGUUACAAAGAUCUGUGCAAUGGUGGCCUUGACGUCAGACCGGGAUACCUGUGGAACUUUGCUAUUACCAUAUCAGUCGUUGUAUGGCUGCAUAAGUUCAAGAAUUAGUUGUACCUGAGGGAUAUUGCGGUUACACUCGCGUUGUUAAAAAGGUUUGAUAUAUUCAAGUGAUCCAAACGGAACAUCACCAGAAUCUGUUAACAGUAAAUCCCCAUGAGUAAAAGACUGUCGGAGGUAGGCUAAACAGAGUCGAGUUUAGACUAAACAAAGUCGAGUUAGGCUAAACAGAGUCGAGUUAGGCUAAACAGAGUCGAGUUAGGCUAGACAGAGUCGAGGUAGGCUAAACAGAGUCGAGGUAGGCUAAACAGAGUCGAGUUAGGCUAGACAAAGUCAAGUUAGGCUUAACAGAGUCGAGUGAAGCGAAGUAGAGUCGAGUUAGGCUAGACAAAGUCGAGUUAGGCUAGACGAAGUCGAGUUAGGCUAGACAAAGUCGAGUUAGGCAAAACAUAUUCGAGUGAAGCUAAACAGAGUCGAGUAAGGCUUGACAGAGUCGAUUGAAGCUAAGUAGAGUCGAGUCUAGGCUAAACAGAGUAGAGUUAGGCUGGACAGAGUCGAGUGAAGCGAAGUAGAGUCGAGUUAGGCUAAACAGAGUAGAGUUAGGCUAAACAGAGUCGAGUGAAGCUAAACAGAGUCGAGUCUAGGCUAAACAGAGUAGAGUUAGGCUGGACAGAGUCGAGUGAAGCUAAGUAGAGUCGAGUCUAGGCUUAACACAGUCGAGUUAGGCUAAACAGAGUCGAGUGAAGCUAAACAGAGUCGAGUGAAGCUAAACAGAGUCGAGUGAAGCUAAACAGAGUCGAGUGAAGCUAAACAGAGUCGAGUGAAGCUAAACAGAGUCGAGUGAAGCUAAACAGAGUCGAGUGAAGCUAAACAGAGUCGAGUUAGGCUAGACAAAGUCGAGUUAGGCUAGACGAAGUCGAGUUAGGCUAGACAAAGUCGAGUUAGGCAGAACAUAUUCGAGUGAAGCUAAACAGAGUCGAGUAAGGCUGGACAGAGUCGAUUGAAGCUAAGUAGAGUCGAGUCUAGGCUAAACAGAGUAGAGUUAGGCUGGACAGAGUCGAGUGAAGCUAAAAAGAGUCGAGCCUAGGCUAAACAGAGUAGAGUUAGGCUGGACAGAGUCGAGUGAAGCUAAACAGAGUCGAGUGAAGCUAAACAGAGUCGAGUUAGGCUAAACAGAGUCGCGUUAGGCUAGACUAGGUAGGGAGGGAGAGGAGUUAACAUAAUUAUUAUAGAGAUUUUUUCCUCCAUAAGAAGGAAGGUUUUUUGGCCAUUCCAAAAAAAGGGGGUGAUUGAGGACAUGGUAUUUCGUACGCUAUAAAUUUUCCUUUGAGACCUA
Molecule: long non-coding RNA, 2040 nt
Organism: Nematostella vectensis (starlet sea anemone)
Lineage: Eukaryota; Metazoa; Cnidaria; Anthozoa; Actiniaria; Edwardsiidae
Exons: 2
Source: RefSeq, a predicted model, not a curated record